GGAAUUUUGCGCAAUGGGCGGAAGCCUGACGCAGCAACGCCGCGUGGAGGAAGAAGGCCCUCGGGUCGUAAACUCCUGUCCAUGGGGAAGAUGGUGACGGUACCCUUGGAGGAAGCCCCGGCUAACUCCGUGCCAGCAGCCGCGGUAAUACGGAGGGGGUUAGCGUUGUUCGGAAUUACUGGGCGUAAAGCGCACGUAGGCGGAGUGGAAAGUAUGGGGUGAAAUCCCAGGGCUCAACCCUGGAACGGCCUUGUAAACUCCCAGUCUAGAGUUCGAGAGAGGUGAGUGGAAUUCCAAGUGUAGAGGUGAAAUUCGUAGAUAUUUGGAGGAACACCAGUGGCGAAGGCGGCUCACUGGCUCGAUACUGACGCUGAGGUGCGAAAGUGUGGGGAGC
RNAcentral lists this ribosomal RNA (394 nucleotides) under uncultured bacterium. RNAcentral's name for it is "bacterial SSU rRNA". It matches the Rfam family "Bacterial small subunit ribosomal RNA", at positions 358 to 769 of the family's 1533-position model. The record is from RNAcentral.